UCGUACCGUCAGUAAUAACGGA
RNAcentral lists this microRNA (22 nucleotides) under Eptatretus burgeri (inshore hagfish). RNAcentral's name for it is "Ebu-Mir-126-o1_3p (mature (guide))". The record is from RNAcentral. Lineage: Eukaryota; Metazoa; Chordata; Myxini; Myxiniformes; Myxinidae.